UCUUCGGCAAUGGGCGCAAGCCUGACCGAGCGACGCCGCGUGCGGGAUGAAGGCCUUCGGGUUGUAAACCGCUGUCGUAGAGGAGGAAGUGCAGGGGGGUUCUCCCCUCUGUUUGACCUAUUCUAGGAGGAAGGACGGGCUAAGUUCGUGCCAGCAGCCGCGGUAAGACGAACCGUCCAAACGUUACUCGGAAUUACUGGGCUUAAAGGGUGCGUAGGCUGCGCGGAAAGUCGGGUGUGAAAGCCCUCGGCUCAACUGGGGAAUUGCACUCGAAACUACCGUGCUCGAGGGAGACAGAGGUAAGCGGAACUCAAGGUGGAGCGGUGAAAUGCGUUGAUAUCUUGAGGAACACCGGUGGCGAAGGCGGCUUACUGGGUCUCUUCUGACGCUGAGGCACGAAAGCCAAGGUAGCAAACGGGAUUAGAUACCCCGGUAGUCUUGGCUGUAAACGAUGAGCACUUGUUUGAAGGGUCCUCCAUAGCCUUUCAGACGUAGCGAAAGUGUUAAGUGCUCCGCCUGGGGA
RNAcentral lists this ribosomal RNA (523 nucleotides) under uncultured bacterium. RNAcentral's name for it is "bacterial SSU rRNA". It matches the Rfam family "Bacterial small subunit ribosomal RNA", at positions 362 to 879 of the family's 1533-position model. The record is from RNAcentral.